GACGAACGCUGGCGGCGUGCUUAACACAUGCAAGUCGAGCGGUAAGGCCCCUUCGGGGGUACACGAGCGGCGAACGGGUGAGUAACACGUGAGCAACCUACCCUCAACUUCGGGAUAAGCCUCGGAAACGGGGUCUAAUACCGGAUAUCACUUCCUGCCUCAUGGUGGGGGUUGAAAGUUCUGGCGGUUGGGGAGUGGGCUCGCGGCCUAUCAGCUUGUUGGUGGGGUAAUGGCCUACCAAGGCGACGACGGGAGCUGGUCUGAGAGGAUGAUCAGCCACACUGGGACUGAGACACGGCCCAGACUCCUACGGGAGGCAGCAGUGGGGAAUAUUGGACAAUGGGCGAAAGCCUGAUCCAGCAAUGCCGCGUGUGUGAAGAAGGCCUGCGGGUUGUAAAGCACUUUCA
Molecule: ribosomal RNA, 407 nt
Filed under: uncultured bacterium
Lineage: Bacteria
Description: bacterial SSU rRNA
Rfam family: Bacterial small subunit ribosomal RNA
Source: RNAcentral